GAUGAACGCUGGCGGCAUGCCUAACACAUGCAAGUCGAACGGACUCUUAUAUUAGAAAAUCUCUACAUGCUUAGAGGUUCCCUAAUAUCAGAGUUAGUGGCGGACGGGUGAGUAACACGUUAGUACCUGCCCUUCAGUGGGGAAUAACUCGGCGAAAGUCGAGCUAAUACCGCAUAGGCUCGUUUACGAGUAAAGACUUCGGUCGCUGAAGGAGGGGCUUGCGUCUGAUUAGCUAGUUGGUGGGGUAAAGGCCCACCAAGGCGACGAUCAGUAGCUGGUUCGAGAGGAUGACCAGCCACACUGGGACUGAGAUACGGCCCAGACUCCUACGGGAGGCAGCAGUGAGGAAUCUUCCGCAAUGGGCGAAAGCCUGACGGAGCAAUGCCGCGUGCAGGAUGACGGCCUCGGUGUAACUGCUUUAUAUGGAGAGUAUGACGGUACCAUAUGAAUAAGGAACCGGCGUAACUAACGUGCCAGCAGCCGCGGUAAC
Molecule: ribosomal RNA, 490 nt
Filed under: uncultured bacterium
Lineage: Bacteria
Description: bacterial SSU rRNA
Rfam family: Bacterial small subunit ribosomal RNA
Source: RNAcentral